CCUACGGGCGGCAGCAGUGAGGAAUAUUGGUCAAUGGACGCAAGCCUGAACCAGCCACGCCGCGUGCAGGAAGACGGCUCUAUGAGUUGUAAACUGCUUUUGUACGAGGGUAAACGCAGAUACGCGUAUCUGUCUGAAAGUAUCGUACGAAUAAGGAUCGGCUAACUCCGUGCCAGCAGCCGCGGGAAUACGGAGGAUUCAAGCGUUAUCCGGAUUUAUUGGGUUUAAAGGGUGCGUAGGCGGUCGGAUAAGUUAGAGGUGAACUCCCGAGGCUCAACUUCGGAAUUGCCUCUGAUACUGUUCGGCUAGAGAGUAGUAGCGGUAGGCGGAAGGUAUGGUGUAGCGGUGAAAUGCUUAGAGAUCAUACAGAACACCGAUUGCGAAGGCAGCUUACCAAGCUACUUCUGACGUCGAGGCACGAAAGCGUGGGGAGCAAACAGGAUUAGAUACCCGUGUAGUC
This 460-nucleotide ribosomal RNA is filed under the name uncultured bacterium. Its description in RNAcentral is "partial 16S ribosomal RNA". It matches the Rfam family "Bacterial small subunit ribosomal RNA", at positions 338 to 795 of the family's 1533-position model. The record is from RNAcentral.